Molecule: ribosomal RNA, 244 nt
Filed under: uncultured Actinomycetes bacterium
Lineage: Bacteria; Bacillati; Actinomycetota; Actinomycetes
Description: uncultured actinobacterium partial 16S ribosomal RNA
Rfam family: Bacterial small subunit ribosomal RNA
Source: RNAcentral
GACGAACGCUGGCGGCGUGCUUAACACAUGCAAGUCGAGCGGUAAGGCCCUUCGGGUACACGAGCGGCGAACGGGUGAGUAACACGUGGGUGACCUGCCUCUAGCUCUGGGAUAAGCCUGGGAAACUGGGUCUAAUACCGGAUAUGACUCCACGGCGCAUGUUGUGGGGUGGAAAGCCUUGUGUGGCUAGAGAUGGGCCCGCGGCCUAUCAGCUUGUUGGUGGGGUGAUGGCCUACCAAGGCGA